GGCUUGUUAGCUUAGUUGGUAGAACACAGCACUGGUAUUGCAGAGAUCAUGGGUUCAAAUCCCAUACAGGCCU
This 73-nucleotide transfer RNA is filed under the name Stylophora pistillata. RNAcentral describes it as "tRNA-Thr". It matches the Rfam family "tRNA". Rfam says of the family: Transfer RNA (tRNA) molecules are approximately 80 nucleotides in length. Their secondary structure includes four short double-helical elements and three loops (D, anti-codon, and T loops). Lineage: Eukaryota; Metazoa; Cnidaria; Anthozoa; Scleractinia; Pocilloporidae. The record is from Rfam by way of RNAcentral.